CCAUAAAUAAAGGGCCAAGAAGGACCCUCCAGGUAUGAAAUCUCCUCUCCCAACAUGCUCACUCCUCUUCUGUUGCCAAAUUUUUAACUUGAACGUCGAAGGGUCCCCGCCAGAGCCACCUCUGGUUAGAAACUUUUCUUACAAGUCCUACUACCAUCGUUUGAUCGUCGCCGACCUGCCGUCGCUGCCCAACUCCAAUUGAUCCGACCUCGAGAUAAAAAUUUGUAUCAACACAUGCCACACAGGAUAGGGACCAUGAUGUGCGAGCUAGUAGAGCCCGUGAUGAUACGAUUUCAUACAAACGAUGGGCUCUGCGAGAUCGUUCAGGAUAUGAUAUAGCUACAGAUGACCUCAUAUGUGGAGUAGGAUCCAUAGAUGUAUCAGGUUCGUCCUCGUAUUCUGGAUCCUCUUACUCGCAGCC
Molecule: long non-coding RNA, 421 nt
Filed under: Elaeis guineensis (African oil palm)
Lineage: Eukaryota; Viridiplantae; Streptophyta; Magnoliopsida; Arecales; Arecaceae
Description: long non-coding RNA (EGUI_LNC016395)
Source: RNAcentral